AAGACUAUAGACCUGCGGAGUACCUGGGAGGGAUCAUUAGUGAACGCCCUCACGGGCUUAUAACUAUUCCAAACCUCUGUGAACCGUGCCCUUCGGGGCUAUUUUACAAACAUGGUGUAAUGAACGUCAUAUAUCAUAACAAAACAAAACUUUCAACAACGGAUCUCU
This 168-nucleotide unclassified non-coding RNA is filed under the name soil metagenome. Its description in RNAcentral is "partial contains 5.8S ribosomal RNA, internal transcribed spacer 2, and large subunit ribosomal RNA". The record is from RNAcentral.